GAAGCUGACCAGACAGUCGCCGCUGCGUCGUCGUCCUUUCGGGGAGACGGGCGCAGGGGAGGAAAGUCCGGGCUCCAUAGGGCAGGGUGCCAGGUAACGCCUGGGGGGCGCAAGCCCACGACCAGUGCAACAGAGAGCAAACCGCCGAUGGCC
This 153-nucleotide RNase P RNA is filed under the name Pluralibacter gergoviae. RNAcentral describes it as "partial RNase P RNA component class A". It matches the Rfam family "Bacterial RNase P class A", at positions 1 to 137 of the family's 367-position model. From Rfam's summary of the family: Ribonuclease P (RNase P) is a ubiquitous endoribonuclease, found in archaea, bacteria and eukarya as well as chloroplasts and mitochondria. Its best characterised activity is the generation of mature 5'-ends of tRNAs by cleaving the 5'-leader elements of precursor-tRNAs. Lineage: Bacteria; Pseudomonadati; Pseudomonadota; Gammaproteobacteria; Enterobacterales; Enterobacteriaceae. The record is from RNAcentral.